This 206-nucleotide small RNA is filed under the name Arthrobacter sp. Its description in RNAcentral is "c-di-AMP sequence". The stretch from base 31 to 206 matches the Rfam family "c-di-AMP riboswitch aptamer (ydaO/yuaA leader)". From Rfam's summary of the family: This family represents a conserved RNA structure found upstream of the ydaO and yuaA genes in Bacillus subtilis and related genes in other bacteria. The ydaO/yuaA element is thought to act as a genetic "off" switch for the ydaO and yuaA genes in its native state. Lineage: Bacteria; Bacillati; Actinomycetota; Actinomycetes; Micrococcales; Micrococcaceae. The record is from RNAcentral.
UCCUCUCUCUGCCUAACCCUGUCGAUGAGGACGGACCGUUCGCUACACACAUCGACAGGGGCGGGGGAACCGAUAGCGGACCCACUCACGGGUCCUAGGGGUCAAGACGCGCGUGCACCAGCUCUGGGGCGGUGGUGCACGAACACCACGUCCGGAUGUCCCAUCCGAACCCGACAGCUAACUUCGUAGGCAUUGGGAAAGGCAUC